RNAcentral lists this non-coding RNA (45 nucleotides) under Schistosoma curassoni. Lineage: Eukaryota; Metazoa; Platyhelminthes; Trematoda; Strigeidida; Schistosomatidae. The record is from RNAcentral.
ACUCAGCUGACGAAUCCCAAAUAGGACGAAACGCGAGUCCUGGAU